AGCUUUGUGCAGUGGCAGUAAGGUAGCCAAUGAGGUUUAUUUGAGGCGCAAUUAUUGCUAAUUGAAACAGAUUCGUAGUGCACAGAGAGUGGGAUUUGUAGUUAACUACAUCUAGAUUUUUAAAUCCCCACCCCACUGUUUACCAGUUGGAUAAACUUGGG
Molecule: small nuclear RNA, 161 nt
Organism: Homo sapiens (human)
Lineage: Eukaryota; Metazoa; Chordata; Mammalia; Primates; Hominidae
Source: Ensembl